This is a long non-coding RNA of Gallus gallus (chicken), 1276 nucleotides long. RefSeq lists it as uncharacterized. Lineage: Eukaryota; Metazoa; Chordata; Aves; Galliformes; Phasianidae. The record is from RefSeq and is a predicted model, not a curated record. The transcript has 3 exons.
AGGCAGGAGCUGAACGUGAAUAUUACUCAGAUGUCUGCCGGGAAGGAGAGCAUUCUACAAGCAGUGGGUGAUGUCCUCAGCAACAACGGGAUCCAGGAGGAGAAGAGAGGGGAAAUUCUGCAGCUGACAAGAGAUGCAAUCAAGGUGAUUGAAAACUACAUCUGGAUGCUCGAUUGGGCUCUGAAAACCACAGCUGCUGGGCUUUCCAAGGAUCUCAGGGCCAUGUGGUCAUCCGGCUGCCAGAGAAAAUCCAGCCCAGAGCUUUCACCAUCUGGCACAUCUCCAGGGCAGUCUCUCCGUGUGGGGAAGUCAGCAGCGCCCCCGAAGAGUUUGCUGUCUCAGUAAGUCUCUGCCUGCUUCUUCUUCUGGAGGGACCCCGGGCCCGAGGAAGAGCUUUGCCAGAGAUGUCCUUCUGGUGGUGAGAUCUCCCAGAGACCUGUGGUGGGCUGCUGCAGAGCACUGCAUCCUGCCAAAGGGCAUGGAGAUGCUCGGGGUGGUUACACCUUGCGUUUCUUCUGGAUCGUGGACAGGAGCCUCAGCAUGCUCACCCAGCAUGCUCAGGGUGUCAGGAACUAAGAGCCAAAUGCCACACGGAGCAGCAGCCCUGGUGUCCAUCAGAGCUGCCUCUCACUGCCCAGUGAGUGCUCCCUCUCUGCUGCCUUUGAGUCGUGGCUGCUGCUUCCCUGGAGCUAUAGCUGUGGGCAGCAGCGGCCCGCUUUGGAGAGUGCUGCUCUCCUUAGAGUUCUACAAUGUCCUCUUGUGUCCAGCUGCCCUGGACAAGCCUCUCAGGUUCCCUGAGAAGGGCAAGGGAGCAUUUCUGUGUGCUCAGGGAGGGACAGAUGAGAAGGAACAAGCCUUGCCCUCCGGCUGCCAUGCUCAGGACCUGCAGCCAGCACCCAGGUGGGGCUCUGCCUCCCUCCUCGCCUGCCCCCUCCUGUGAUGUCACCGCUGAUGCACUUGGUGACCUCAUGGUGCUGCUGGCCAGCACGUCUCCUGAAGGCCAGCCGGGUGCUGCAGAGGCAGUGACCCCGCACCACCACUCCAGCUACCUUCCCUCGGCCCCCCCUUCCCCUGCCCCCCUGCCCUGUCCAGUUCCUGCUGGGAUGAGCAGUCUGGGGAUGCGCUUCCUGUCCCAGACAGCCUCCUCCAGCUGCCGGCCAGUCAGGCUUCUGUGACAGGAGAGUCCCCACCAUCAGCACCACAAUUUCUGUUGCCUUUCCUGCUGCUCCUUAUCUUCUCCUUUGGCUCCUUGUCCCUCGGGACCACACAUUCUACA